GACGAACGCUGGCGGCGUGCCUAAUACAUGCAAGUAGAACGCUGAAGGAGGAGCUUGCUUCUCUGGAUGAGUUGCGAACGGGUGAGUAACGCGUAGGUAACCUGCCUGGUAGCGGGGGAUAACUAUUGGAAACGAUAGCUAAUACCGCAUAAGAGUGGAUGUUGCAUGACAUUUACUUGAAAGGUGCAAUUGCAUCACUACCAGAUGGACCUGCGUUGUAUUAGCUAGUUGGUGAGGUAACGGCUCACCAAGGCGACGAUACAUAGCCGACCUGAGAGGGUGAUCGGCCACACUGGGACUGAGACACGGCCCAGACUCCUACGGGAGGCAGCAGUAGGGAAUCUUCGGCAAUGGACGGAAGUCUGACCGAGCAACGCCGCGUGAGUGAAGAAGGUUUUCGGAUCGUAAAGCUCUGUUGUAAGAGAAGAACGAGUGUGAGAGUGGAAAGUUCACACUGUGACGGUAUCUUACCAGAAAGGGACGGCUAACUACGUGCCAGCAGCCGCGGUAAUACGUAGGUCCCGAGCGUUGUCCGGAUUUAUUGGGCGUAAAGCGAGCGCAGGCGGUUAGAUAAGUCUGAAGUUAAAGGCUGUGGCUUAACCAUAGUACGCUUUGGAAACUGUUUAACUUGAGUGCAAGAGGGGAGAGUGGAAUUCCAUGUGUAGCGGUGAAAUGCGUAGAUAUAUGGAGGAACACCGGUGGCGAAAGCGGCUCUCUGGCUUGUAACUGACGCUGAGGCUCGAAAGCGUGGGGAGCAAACAGGAUUAGAUACCCUGGUAGUCCACGCCGUAAACGAUGAGUGCUAGGUGUUAGACCCUUUCCGGGGUUUAGUGCCGUAGCUAACGCAUUAAGCACUCCGCCUGGGGAGUACGACCGCAAGGUUGAAACUCAAAGGAAUUGACGGGGGCCCGCACAAGCGGUGGAGCAUGUGGUUUAAUUCGAAGCAACGCGAAGAACCUUACCAGGUCUUGACAUCCCUCUGACCGCUCUAGAGAUAGAGCUUUCCUUCGGGACAGAGGUGACAGGUGGUGCAUGGUUGUCGUCAGCUCGUGUCGUGAGAUGUUGGAUUAAGUCCCGCAACGAGCGCAACCCCUAUUGUUAGUUGCCAUCAUUCAGUUGGGCACUCUAGCGAGACUGCCGGUAAUAAACCGGAGGAAGGUGGGGAUGACGUCAAAUCAUCAUGCCCCUUAUGACCUGGGCUACACACGUGCUACAAUGGCUGGUACAACGAGUCGCAAGCCGGUGACGGCAAGCUAAUCUCUUAAAGCCAGUCUCAGUUCGGAUUGUAGGCUGCAACUCGCCUACAUGAAGUCGGAAUCGCUAGUAAUCGCGGAUCAGCACGCCGCGGUGAAUACGUUCCCGGGCCU
RNAcentral lists this ribosomal RNA (1367 nucleotides) under uncultured bacterium. RNAcentral's name for it is "bacterial SSU rRNA". It matches the Rfam family "Bacterial small subunit ribosomal RNA", at positions 28 to 1381 of the family's 1533-position model. The record is from RNAcentral.